UCCCCGUUCACCGGGGCAGUCCCCUCAGAGUGCCCGGCAUGACCCGGUAGCAACAAAGGGCAAGGGUUGCGCUCGUUGCGGGACUUAACCCAACAUCUCACGACACGAGCUGACGACAGCCAUGCAGCACCUGUGCAUCGGCCCCGAAGGGAAGACAGCUUUCACUGCCGGUCCAAUGCAUGUCAAACCCAGGUAAGGUUCUUCGCGUUGCGUCGAAUUAAACCACAUGCUCCACCGCUUGUGCGGGCCCCCGUCAAUUCGUUUGAGUUUCAGCCUUGCGACCGUACUCCCCAGGCGGGGCACUUACUGCGUUAGCGCCGGCACCGACGGGAUGUAUACCGCCGACACCUAGUGCCCAUCGUUUACGGCGUGGACUAC
RNAcentral lists this unclassified non-coding RNA (378 nucleotides) under uncultured bacterium. RNAcentral's name for it is "contains 16S-23S intergenic spacer region". The record is from RNAcentral.